GGGAAUUUUGCGCAAUGGGCGGAAGCCUGACGCAGCAACGCCGCGUGGAGGAAGAAGGCCCUCGGGUCGUAAACUCCUGUCCAUGGGGAAGAUGGUGACGGUACCCUUGGAGGAAGCCCCGGCUAACUCCGUGCCAGCAGCCGCGGUAAUACGGGGGGGGCGAGCGUUGUUCGGAUUUACUGGGCGUAAAGGGCUCGUAGGCGGCCACUUAAGUCGGUUGUGAAAUCCCCCGGCUCAACCGGGGAAUUGCGUCCGAUACUGGGUGGCUUGAAGCCGGGAGAGGGAUGCGGAAUUCCAGGUGUAGCGGUGAAAUGCGUAGAUAUCUGGAGGAACACCCGUGGCGAAGGCGGCAUCCUGGACCGGUCUUGACGCUGAGGAGCGAAAGCUAGGGUAGCAAAC
Molecule: ribosomal RNA, 399 nt
Filed under: uncultured bacterium
Lineage: Bacteria
Description: bacterial SSU rRNA
Rfam family: Bacterial small subunit ribosomal RNA
Source: RNAcentral